AAAAAGAUAAACCUUUAGUUUUCGUGUCCCAUCUUAUAUGAAUUUUUUUUAUAAUUAGUAUUUUCAUUGUUGUUAGAUGAUAAAACAUGAUUAAUACUUUAUGCGUGACUUGUCUUUUUAAUUUUUUUCAUAUUUUUUUCAAAUAAAACAGACGAUUAAACGUUUGACACGGAAACCCGGGUUUGUUUUUUUG
RNAcentral lists this microRNA precursor (193 nucleotides) under Oryza glumipatula. RNAcentral's name for it is "MIR812 microRNA precursor family". It matches the Rfam family "MIR812 microRNA precursor family". The record is from Rfam by way of RNAcentral. Lineage: Eukaryota; Viridiplantae; Streptophyta; Magnoliopsida; Poales; Poaceae.